ACACUCCUACGGGAGGCAGCAGUGGGGAAUUUUGGACAAUGGGCGAAAGCCUGAUCCAGCAAUGCCGCGUGUGUGAAGAAGGCCUUCGGGUUGUAAAGCACUUUUGUCCGGAAAGAAAUCCUUGGCUCUAAUACAGUCGGGGGAUGACGGUACCGGAAGAAUAAGCACCGGCUAACUACGUGCCAGCAGCCGCGGUAAUACGUAGGGUGCGAGCGUUAAUCGGAAUUACUGGGCGUAAAGCGUGCGCAGGCGGUUUGCUAAGACCGAUGUGAAAUCCCCGGGCUCAACCUGGGAACUGCAUUGGUGACUGGCAGGCUAGAGUAUGGCAGAGGGGGGUAGAAUUCCACGUGUAGCAGUGAAAUGCGUAGAGAUGUGGAGGAAUACCGAUGGCGAAGGCAGCCCCCUGGGCCAAUACUGACGCUCAUGCACGAAAGCGUGGGGAGCAAACAGGAUUAGAAACCCCAGUAGUCCCAUGA
This 476-nucleotide ribosomal RNA is filed under the name uncultured organism. RNAcentral's name for it is "partial 16S ribosomal RNA". It matches the Rfam family "Bacterial small subunit ribosomal RNA", at positions 333 to 800 of the family's 1533-position model. The record is from RNAcentral.